UUAAGCGACUAAGCGUACACGGUGGAUGCCCUGGCAGUCAGAGGCGAUGAAGGACGUGCUAAUCUGCGAUAAGCGUCGGUAAGGUGAUAUGAACCGUUAUAACCGGCGAUUUCCGAAUGGGGAAACCCAGUGUGUUUCGACACACUAUCAUUAACUGAAUCCAUAGGUUAAUGAGGCGAACCGGGGGAACUGAAACAUCUAAGUACCCCGAGGAAAAGAAAUCAACCGAGAUUCCCCCAGUAGCGGCGAGCGAACGGGGAGCAGCCCAGAGCCUGAAUCAGUGUGUGUGUUAGUGGAAGCGUCUGGAAAGGCGCGCGAUACAGGGUGACAGCCCCGUACACAAAAAUGCACAUGCUGUGAGCUCGAUGAGUAGGGCGGGACACGUGGUAUCCUGUCUGAAUAUGGGGGGACCAUCCUCCAAGGCUAAAUACUCCUGACUGACCGAUAGUGAACCAGUACCGUGAGGGAAAGGCGAAAAGAACCCCGGCGAGGGGAGUGAAAAAGAACCUGAAACCGUGUACGUACAAGCAGUGGGAGCCUCUUUUAUGGGGUGACUGCGUACCUUUUGUAUAAUGGGUCAGCGACUUAUAUUCUGUAGCAAGGUUAACCGAAUAGGGGAGCCGAAGGGAAACCGAGUCUUAACUGGGCGUUAAGUUGCAGGGUAUAGACCCGAAACCCGGUGAUCUAGCCAUGGGCAGGUUGAAGGUUGGGUAACACUAACUGGAGGACCGAACCGACUAAUGUUGAAAAAUUAGCGGAUGACUUGUGGCUGGGGGUGAAAGGCCAAUCAAACCGGGAGAUAGCUGGUUCUCCCCGAAAGCUAUUUAGGUAGCGCCUCGUGAAUUCAUCUCCGGGGGUAGAGCACUGUUUCGGCAAGGGGGUCAUCCCGACUUACCAACCCGAUGCAAACUGCGAAUACCGGAGAAUGUUAUCACGGGAGACACACGGCGGGUGCUAACGUCCGUCGUGAAGAGGGAAACAACCCAGACCGCCAGCUAAGGUCCCAAAGUCAUGGUUAAGUGGGAAACGAUGUGGGAAGGCCCAGACAGCCAGGAUGUUGGCUUAGAAGCAGCCAUCAUUUAAAGAAAGCGUAAUAGCUCACUGGUCGAGUCGGCCUGCGCGGAAGAUGUAACGGGGCUAAACCAUGCACCGAAGCUGCGGCAGCGACACUAUGUGUUGUUGGGUAGGGGAGCGUUCUGUAAGCCUGUGAAGGUGUACUGUGAGGUAUGCUGGAGGUAUCAGAAGUGCGAAUGCUGACAUAAGUAACGAUAAAGCGGGUGAAAAGCCCGCUCGCCGGAAGACCAAGGGUUCCUGUCCAACGUUAAUCGGGGCAGGGUGAGUCGACCCCUAAGGCGAGGCCGAAAGGCGUAGUCGAUGGGAAACAGGUUAAUAUUCCUGUACUUGGUGUUACUGCGAAGGGGGGACGGAGAAGGCUAUGUUGGCCGGGCGACGGUUGUCCCGGUUUAAGCGUGUAGGCUGGUUUUCCAGGCAAAUCCGGAAAAUCAAGGCUGAGGCGUGAUGACGAGGCACUACGGUGCUGAAGCAACAAAUGCCCUGCUUCCAGGAAAAGCCUCUAAGCAUCAGGUAACAUCAAAUCGUACCCCAAACCGACACAGGUGGUCAGGUAGAGAAUACCAAGGCGCUUGAGAGAACUCGGGUGAAGGAACUAGGCAAAAUGGUGCCGUAACUUCGGGAGAAGGCACGCUGAUAUGUAGGUGAAGUCCCUCGCGGAUGGAGCUGAAAUCAGUCGAAGAUACCAGCUGGCUGCAACUGUUUAUUAAAAACACAGCACUGUGCAAACACGAAAGUGGACGUAUACGGUGUGACGCCUGCCCGGUGCCGGAAGGUUAAUUGAUGGGGUCAGCGCAAGCGAAGCUCUUGAUCGAAGCCCCGGUAAACGGCGGCCGUAACUAUAACGGUCCUAAGGUAGCGAAAUUCCUUGUCGGGUAAGUUCCGACCUGCACGAAUGGCGUAAUGAUGGCCAGGCUGUCUCCACCCGAGACUCAGUGAAAUUGAACUCGCUGUGAAGAUGCAGUGUACCCGCGGCAAGACGGAAAGACCCCGUGAACCUUUACUAUAGCUUGACACUGAACAUUGAGCCUUGAUGUGUAGGAUAGGUGGGAGGCUUUGAAGUGUGGACGCCAGUCUGCAUGGAGCCGACCUUGAAAUACCACCCUUUAAUGUUUGAUGUUCUAACGUUGACCCGUAAUCCGGGUUGCGGACAGUGUCUGGUGGGUAGUUUGACUGGGGCGGUCUCCUCCUAAAGAGUAACGGAGGAGCACGAAGGUUGGCUAAUCCUGGUCGGACAUCAGGAGGUUAGUGCAAUGGCAUAAGCCAGCUUGACUGCGAGCGUGACGGCGCGAGCAGGUGCGAAAGCAGGUCAUAGUGAUCCGGUGGUUCUGAAUGGAAGGGCCAUCGCUCAACGGAUAAAAGGUACUCCGGGGAUAACAGGCUGAUACCGCCCAAGAGUUCAUAUCGACGGCGGUGUUUGGCACCUCGAUGUCGGCUCAUCACAUCCUGGGGCUGAAGUAGGUCCCAAGGGUAUGGCUGUUCGCCAUUUAAAGUGGUACGCGAGCUGGGUUUAGAACGUCGUGAGACAGUUCGGUCCCUAUCUGCCGUGGGCGCUGGAGAACUGAGGGGGGCUGCUCCUAGUACGAGAGGACCGGAGUGGACGCAUCACUGGUGUUCGGGUUGUCAUGCCAAUGGCACUGCCCGGUAGCUAAAUGCGGAAGAGAUAAGUGCUGAAAGCAUCUAAGCACGAAACUUGCCCCGAGAUGAGUUCUCCCUGACUCCUUGAGAGUCCUGAAGGAACGUUGAAGACGACGACGUUGAUAGGCCGGGUGUGUAAGCGCAGCGAUGCGUUGAGCUAACCGGUACUAAUGAACCGUGAGGCUUAACCUU
This 2901-nucleotide ribosomal RNA is filed under the name Escherichia coli. Its description in RNAcentral is "23S ribosomal RNA". It matches the Rfam family "Bacterial large subunit ribosomal RNA". The record is from RNAcentral. Lineage: Bacteria; Pseudomonadati; Pseudomonadota; Gammaproteobacteria; Enterobacterales; Enterobacteriaceae.